This 369-nucleotide long non-coding RNA is filed under the name Mytilus galloprovincialis (Mediterranean mussel). Lineage: Eukaryota; Metazoa; Mollusca; Bivalvia; Mytilida; Mytilidae. The record is from RNAcentral.
CCUGUGUGUAUGUUCCAGACCAUACGAGUAUUUGGACCGUACGCGUACAGUCCGGACCGUAUACGUAUACUCGUACGGUCCAGCUGACCAUACAUGUUUUGGUAUCAUAUGGGUUAAAUUAAAAAAAAUAAACAAUAACCAAAAAUUUGUAGCUUUAGUUCUCCAAGAUGCUAUUUUUACAUCAGAUGGGUAAGUGAAUAAGCGUACAAUUGAAAUUAAAUGUUUGUUUAAUUCUAUAUCUGAAUCCCAUUUUUGUACUCUCGCUCCAGUUGACACUAACUACCACAAGGAAUGUUAUGUUUUUUUUUAUUAAUUUACAUUUACAUGUUUGCGGUCCAUUCAUGUUCCUUUGCAUAUGCAUUUUUUUUU